CUAGCUGGUCUGAGAGGAUGAUCAGCCACACUGGAACUGAGACACGGUCCAGAUUCCUACGGGAGGCAGCAGUGGGAUAUUGCACAAUGGGGGAAUCCUGAUGCACCUAUUCGGGUGUAUGAAGAAGCCCUUUGGGUUGUAAAGUAUUUUCAGUUGUGAGGAAGGGGGUUUCGUUAAUAGCGGCAUUUUUUGACGUUAGCAACAGAAGAAGCACCGGCUAAUUCCGUGCCAGCAGCCGCGGUAAUACGGAGGGUGCGAGCGUUAAUCGGAAUUACUGGGCGUAAAGCGCAUGCAGGUGGUUCAUUAAGUCAGAUGUGAAAGCCCGGGGCUCAACCUCGGAACUGCAUUUGAAACUGGUGAACUAGAGUACUGUAGAGGGGGGUAGAAUUUCAGGUGUAGCGGUGAAAUGCGUAGAGAUUUGAAGGAAUACCAGUGGCGAAGGCGGCCCCCUGGACAGAUACUGACACUCAGAUGCGAAAGCGUGGGGAGCAAACAGGAUUAGAUACCCUGUAUUCCACCCGUAAAUGAUUUUAAUUGGAGGUUGUGCCCUUGACCGUGGCUUUUGGGAGUUAAUGUUUUAAUUAGACCUCCUGGGGAGUACGUUGCAAGAUUAAAAUUCAAAUGAAUUGACGGGGGCCCUGCAACAAGCGGUGGAGCAUGUGGUUUAAUUUGAUGCAACGGGAAGAACCUUACUUAUUUUUGACAUCCAGAGAAGCCAGCGGAGACGCAGGUGUGCCUUCGGGAGUUCUGAGACAGGUGCUGCAUGGCUGUCGUCAGCUCGUGUUGUGAAAUGUUGGGUUAAGUCCCGCAACGAGCGCAACCCUUAUCCUUGUUUGCCAGCGAGUAAUGUCGGGAACUCCAGGGAGACUGCCGGUGAUAAACCGGAGGAAGGUGGGGACGACGUCAAGUCAUCAUGGCCCUUACGAGUAGGGCUACACACGUGCUACAAUGGCGCAUACAGAGGGCUGCGAACUUGCGAGAGUGAGCGAAUCCCAAAAAG
Molecule: ribosomal RNA, 1000 nt
Filed under: Vibrio sp. 121
Lineage: Bacteria; Pseudomonadati; Pseudomonadota; Gammaproteobacteria; Vibrionales; Vibrionaceae
Description: bacterial SSU rRNA
Rfam family: Bacterial small subunit ribosomal RNA
Source: RNAcentral